GAUGAACGCUGGCGGCGUGCUUAACACAUGCAAGUCGAACGAAGCUGUUAAAAGGAAGUCUUCGGAUGGAAUUUUAACAGACUUAGUGGCGGACGGGUGAGUAACGCGUGGAUAACCUGCCUUAUACAGGGGGAUAACGGAGAGAAAUUUCCGCUAAGACCGCAUAAGACCACAGCACCGCAUGGUGCAGGGGUAAAAUAUUAAUAGGUAUAAGAUGGAUCCGCGUCUGAUUAGCUUGUUGGUGAGGUAGAGGCUCACCAAGGCGACGAUCGGUAGCCGGCCUGAGAGGGUGAACGGCCACAUUGGGACUGAGACACGGCCCAAACUCCUACGGGAGGCAGCAGUGGGGAAUAUUGGACAAUGGGGGAAACCCUGAUCCAGCGACGCCGCGUGAGUGAAGAAGUAUUUCGGUAUGUAAAGCUCUAUCAGCAGGGAAGAAAAUGACGGACCUG
This 452-nucleotide ribosomal RNA is filed under the name Lachnoanaerobaculum saburreum. RNAcentral describes it as "bacterial SSU rRNA". It matches the Rfam family "Bacterial small subunit ribosomal RNA", at positions 28 to 462 of the family's 1533-position model. The record is from RNAcentral. Lineage: Bacteria; Bacillati; Bacillota; Clostridia; Lachnospirales; Lachnospiraceae.